UCUUGGGCUGCCUCACUGUGUGUGAUGAAACAUAGUAGAGUCCAAGUGCAGUGGGGAAAUUCAGACCUGGCUUUAGUUAAUCAAGUCCUUACCAGUGGUGUGAGAAACUCAGUCCAUAAAAGGCUUUGACAGCCAUCCCAUUUGAUUUGCUUCCUUUCGUUAAACUUGAAGAGUAAUUGUACAAGGUAAGGUAAAAAUUGCCUACGUGUGAAACGGCCUCGAGUUAUGGUACCAGAUACAACUGUGAUGCUGGCACUAUACCAUCUCCUAAUUCCUAGUGUUAACCAAAAUUAACUUAUGAAGAGGAAAACCGUAUGUCAAAGCCAUGCUGUAAAUGUGCCUUCCAUUAUCAACAGAGGGGGCUUCUAAUGGGAUGUCUCAAUUGUCUGUUAUUAACCUUCUUCUAUUUUAAGAAAAUGUAUGUAUAUACACCCUAUGUAAGUAAGAUAUAUCAGUAAGAUAAGUAAGUCUUUAUCAGCUACUAUUCCCCUCCCAGUUUGUUUUUUUACAAAUCCUUAAUAUUUAUACUUAUUUGAUAUCUGAAACGUUAAUGUUAUUUUUCAGUUACAUCCCCUUUUAGUGCUGCAUCAUUUACCUUUCAUGUUCCCUUUGAAAAGAUCUUUUCUUUCCUUAAGCUUUUUUUUUUCUUUAAAUGACUCUUCUUUCCUUCCAUUUUUAUCAGACACUGAUGUUUUAGAUGCCACCUUUUCUGUAAUUAGUUUCAACCUUAAUUUCCUUACAUUUUUAGGAAUUCAUCUUUGUCACAGUUCACCUACAUUCUAUUUGUUCUUCCCUCCAAAUAGAAACUUAUUUCUAACAUAUCCUGUUACACAAUUUGAUCCUGUUUAUCAUAAUUCUGCUUAUCAUAUCCUGCUUAUCAUAAUAAUGUCUCUGCUUAGUAUUCCAGUUUCUUGAUCUUUUAUCUUCUACUCAAUUUCUCUACAGCAUCUCAUUUGUUGUGGCUGAAUAUUUCUUUAGUGGUUGAUGCACUGUAUGGUUCUAAGGACCUUACAUGUAGGUUCUUCACUUAUACCCAGGGACUUCCUGGGAUGCAUUGGAACAAUCUUCUGAACUGAGACUAGAUAGCAACAGCACACCAAAUGAAGAGCAUCUUUACAUGAUCGGGAGUUGAUCUUGAGGUCAGUGAUAGCCUGUGUCAAGUGACAGAAGGUAAAAAAUAUCAUAUUAUGUGUGAGAAAGGCUCCUAAAUGUUUUAUAGCAGCAAUUUUGUCAUUGGAAGGUGUUCAUUGCCUAAAAUCUAUAACUGUUACCUCCCUACUGUUUACAAGCCGCUGCUGCUUCUGGUGGCUCAUCCUUCUAAAUUUCAAAACCAGGAGGAGGAGCCAGAGGGCAACCUUCCAAGGAGGAGUAAGCAAGAUAAUUAGGCAAUUAAUCUCUGGCAUUGGAGUGGGAUCUGCUUGUGAACAGAGGAAUUUAAGGUUGAGAUUCUAGCCUUGAAUGGGACAGGACGGUGCCACACACACCCACACACACUGUGUGCGUAUGAGCCCACUGGAAGCAUAGGACUGACUGUCAAAUAGGGGAGUUUUGACACUGUGAGCCUGUUUUCCUUAUCUGGUAGAGAGACUUGUAAUUUUUUUAAGCUAUUUGUUUAGAUCUGCUGCCCUGGGCUGUUCAGGUGUACUUAAAGAGUGUAGACCAUUGAUGAGAUACGUUCAGCUGAAAAAGCCUUAACAACUUUGAGAUGUCACAUUUGGGGCUUCAUAGUGCAUAUGGCUAAAAAGAGCACAGGGCAUAACACAGCAAGUAACUUCUACUUAUUUUGCACAGAAGCAAGAAAAUAUAUAUUCCUUUCUAGAAAGACAAAAAUCAUUAUGGUUUCUUCAGAAGAAAUGAGCUGAGGCAUGAAAAUGUUAUGUCCUUGACCUGCCUGUUAAUAGAGUCCCUAUGUACUUUAUACAUGCAUUUAUUAAAAAGUAAUAUCUUGUAUCUAUAUACACGAGGUAACAGUAAUAAGUUGGCCAUAGGUAGCAAAUGACAGGGUGCAUGCAAAGCCAAUGAAAAUGUGUUUCUAAUAAAGUAUCUAAAAAAGACAAGCAGUGAAGUACAGUGUACCUGACUGAAAUUCCUAGCAACUCAUAAAAUUUACAAAGUAAAAGAUGAUGACAAGUAGUGUAUUUUUUUUUUUUUUGCUAUAAAUAUAUAAAAAUCACAUAAUGCAAAAAAACAGUUUAAUAUGAUAAAUGGAAGAAACAACCACUUGCAAACCAAGCCUGGAACAAACCCCUGGCAGCGAAAGCAGAAGUAGCUGACAAAGGUGCCUUUAUGAUAUGUCAGAUUUAUGUCUCAAGAUGGCCAAUCCGUUCUUGUUUUCAUGUGCUGUUGGUGGGAUUUGUGUUUGAUAUUCAAAAGAUCAGAUUUGCUUCCUGCAAAUUGAAAGCAUAUGCUACUUCUGGAUCCCUUUUUCCUAAGGGAUUUUUGCAGCCGGUAUGUACCCAGUGUUCCUGUCAUCUUGACAGGCUAAACUGCAACAAGUUUUACCUCUUCAGAUAUGUAUGAAGAAGUGCAUAAUAUACAUGCAUAAAUAGCACUUCCUGAAAUGUUUCUUCAUUUCAUAGUUACAUGCAUUUCUUGGUUGCCUGUAGUACCUCUAUAACCACAGCUACUUUCCAGCUUCCAGUCCUCCGAAUUACUCUCAGCACAGGAGUAUUUACAAAGUAAAUCCUUUUUUUUAGAGGGGAAAUAAGUACCUGUAUACUUGGAGCUCAGUCUAAAGGAAAGUUCUAUCAGUAUUACACUGUUUUCCUCACCUUUAAACACAGGUCUGUCUAUACAGAUUGUUAGUAGCUAACCAAAGACUACUACACAUCUAGCUUAGCUUCUGAGAACUUAAAUAUAACUUUGGAACAAAAAAGUAAUGCUGACUAGGUGAAUAUGACCUCUUGGUCAAUCUUUUUUAAAAGCUGCUUACAGAUUGAGGCCACUACGACAGCCAGUGUCACUAUUUAUCAGGGAGUGCUAUUGUAUCACGUUGGGAAGGAGCUGAAGUGUGCUAUUCAGGGUGCUGCUGAGCAUAACAACCUCACAGCCAGUGUUCUGGGUAGCUGUGGUUCUUUAUUUUGGCCUCAAGCUAGCAAGCACGUUCAGUGGGAUUCAAGGGCAUCUGGCAUGGAAGAGACCUGCACUUCUAUGGUUACACCCAAACUUUAUUUCUUUCUUUUUUCAUGCUUCCAGGUUCUCCUUCACACUCUCUGUCCAGACCACCAAACCCAGGUAUUCCAUGAGAGGAGUGAGAAUACACAAAUGCUGUAGAACCGAGACAAAUAAAACUACUUCAUGUAUAGAUGGGAAGACUAUAAUCUAGAAACAUUAAGCUGUGACAGCCUGCCAGAACUUCUCCUGCAAAUGAUGGAGUUUCUCUAAAGACGCUUCGUAAAAGCAGCAGCAGCAAACAGAGUGACCCUACAGGUGCAAACUGCAGCAGCUCUCCCUCCAGUCUUCCCAAUAAGGUUUGUUGAAACUCUCUGUAUCUCAACGUCUUUAUUGGUAAUGGAUACCGCCCUUAAUUUGCACUGAUGCAUUUGGAAUGUCAGCUUCCAAAACAAGGCACAUGGGAGGCAUUUAAAGUAGAUUUUUUGAAAGGAAAAUGAACAAAGAGCAUGUCAGGUUCCAUUUUGAUUUGCAUGACAAAUCCUUCAUGCAGUGUUCUGGUGGGUCGGGCUGGGCUUGCCUGCCACUCACUGCGUUUGUCACUUUGGUUUGAACACUUCUGACAGUCCGUUAUGUUAAUUGUUCUAAGGAUUGUUUUGCUGGGGAGGAAGAAAAGGAAAGGCAUUUGUAUUUUUGUGCUUGUUCCAUUUACAGGAAAGGAGGGAUUUCUGAAGGAACACACAAUGUUUUCAGUCUGUUUGUGAUCUAUUUGAUUUGUAAAUAAUCCUAUGAAGUCAUCAGCAA
This is a long non-coding RNA of Pezoporus occidentalis (night parrot), 3915 nucleotides long. RefSeq lists it as uncharacterized. The record is from RefSeq and is a predicted model, not a curated record. Lineage: Eukaryota; Metazoa; Chordata; Aves; Psittaciformes; Psittacidae. The transcript has 2 exons.